GACGAACGCUGGCGGCGUGCUUAACACAUGCAAGUCGAACGAGAGCGUAGAGAAAGCUUGCUUUUUCUACAAUCUAGUGGCAAACGGGUGAGUAACGCGUAAACAACCUGCCCUACGGAUGGGGACAGCAGCUGGAAACGGCUGCUAAUACCGAAUACGUUCCGAAAGUCGCAUGACUAUCGGAAGAAAGGAUGGCCUCUAUUUAUAAGCUAUCGCCGGAGGAGGGGUUUGCGUCUGAUUAGCUAGUUGGAGGGGUAACGGCCCACCAAGGCGACGAUCAGUAGCCGGUCUGAGAGGAUGAACGGCCACAUUGGAACUGAGACACGGUCCAGACUCCUACGGGAGGCAGCAGUGGGGAAUCUUCCGCAAUGGGCGAAAGCCUGACGGAGCAACGCCGCGUGAGUGAAGACGGCCUUCGGGUUGUAAAGCUCUGUUAUACGGGACGAAUAAUCUUGUGGUUAAUACCCAUGAGAAGUGACGGUACCGUAAGAGAAAGCCACGGCUAACUACGUG
This 513-nucleotide ribosomal RNA is filed under the name uncultured bacterium. RNAcentral describes it as "partial 16S ribosomal RNA". It matches the Rfam family "Bacterial small subunit ribosomal RNA", at positions 28 to 507 of the family's 1533-position model. The record is from RNAcentral.